UACGUAGGGUGCAAGCGUUGUCCGGAAUUAUUGGGCGUAAAGAGCUCGUAGGCGGUUCGUCGCGUCGGCUGUGAAAACCCGGAGCUCAACUCCGGGCCUGCAGUCGAUACGGGCGGACUUGAGUUCGGUAGGGGAGACUGGAAUUCCUGGUGUAGCGGUGAAAUGCGCAGAUAUCAGGAGGAACACCGGUGGCGAAGGCGGGUCUCUGGGCCGAUACUGACGCUGAGGAGCGAAAGCGUGGGGAGCGAACAGG
RNAcentral lists this ribosomal RNA (253 nucleotides) under uncultured bacterium. RNAcentral describes it as "partial 16S ribosomal RNA". It matches the Rfam family "Bacterial small subunit ribosomal RNA", at positions 524 to 776 of the family's 1533-position model. The record is from RNAcentral.